UACAGAGGGUGCGAGCGUUAAUCGGAAUUACUGGGCGUAGAGCGCGCGUAGGCGGCUUUUCAAGCCGAUUGUGAAAUCCCCGGGCUUAACCUGGGAACUGCAGUCGGGACUGUCUAGCUAGAGUAUGGGAGAGGGAAGUGGAAUUUCAGGUGUAGCGGUGAAAUGCGUAGAUAUCUGAAGGAACAUCAGUGGCGAAAGCGACUUCCUGGACCAAUACUGACGCUCAUGUGCGAAAGCGUGGGGAGCAAACAGG
RNAcentral lists this ribosomal RNA (253 nucleotides) under uncultured bacterium. Its description in RNAcentral is "partial 16S ribosomal RNA". It matches the Rfam family "Bacterial small subunit ribosomal RNA", at positions 524 to 776 of the family's 1533-position model. The record is from RNAcentral.